AACACCGAUUUCUGUCCCUGUGGUGACAUUAAACAAAGGUUUUCAUGGGCAGCCUCAAGAGGAAAAAAUUAAUCAUAUCCCAGGAAGAGAAAGAGGAAAGCGCUCUCUCACUAUCUCACCUUCACCUUAAUGCCAUAAAAGUUUGUUGAGCCUGCAGUUUGCAGCAUAAGCAGCGUGCGAUUCUCGCUGAGACGCCGGCUGUGAUGUGCAGACACCAGCUUUUCAUGCUGCAUCCUCGACAAUCACACCCUCGUGGAUAAUUAGCAGUCUGCGCCAUAGGGAGUACAGUAAAGGCAGCUAAAACAGCCUGCGGCUUCUUUCACCGGGAUUAAGAGACGAGCGCAUGCAAACAGACACACGCCUGAAUCAACGCGCGCAUUCACACAUAAGCAAACACAGACAUGUGCCCUCCUACAGGCCAUGUUAUUUCCCAGAGAUCUGUUUAACAGCCUUCUAAUUGAUGGGAAUGUGAGUCAAAGCUGUUUUUUUGUUGUUUUACCUGCUGAGGGAUGCUGCAGGAUAAUGUGGCGCUGCAGACUAGAAAUACAAGUUCUUUUUAUGCGAGUGUGGUUCUUUAUUUUGUUUUCUCCCACAUUUACUUGAGGUUUUGGCGGUAAUCUCCAGCUCUUUUUCCCACUUUUUCUAAACAUUAAUCUCCUAUUUUUUUUUUUUUUUUUUGCCUUUUGUGUUCUUUUACCCUCCAUCCUUCCCUCCCUUUCUUCUCCAGCCUGAUCCGUUUGUGGUUUGAGAUGCAGAAAUUUAGCAGCAGCCCCUCACCCCAACACUCUGAAACCCACCACAUCGCUCAUGUUUUUUUAGUUCAGCCUAGUUUUAUUUGAAUUCCAGCACACGUUUCAUGCCUUGCAGAGUGUUUUAAAGUUAAGCUAUUAUAUUUUUUUUUAAAAAGACAAUAGAUAAGGUACCUAACUCCCUUUGAUUUUGUUUGUUUCAUAGUUAUUUAAACCCAUUUUGUCAUUGGUUUUCAGUGAACACCGACUCUUAUUUCUAUUGCUGAUUUAAUGAAGCUUGUAUAUUUUAAAGUAUUUUAUUACCAGACAUACCAGAGCUCUCUCCACUGCUCGUUGCAUGAAAUAUUGCUUCAGGCAGCUCUAGCAAUUCCUCAAGUUAGUAGAAAUUCUAUGCUACUACUUAUUAAUGCAAGCAGUCCGAUGUCAGACAUUAGCUACAGGGUUUUAUUACUGAAAAUAAACCUUUCAUACACAUCUCGUCGCAAAGAAAAAGACCCAAGCAGCAGUUGUACCCACAAUUCAUAAGGCUCUUUGUCGCUUGUUAGCGGCCAUAAAUCAGUCCCUUUUAGAUUGUGCAGCAGCCGCUGAC
Molecule: long non-coding RNA, 1338 nt
Organism: Astatotilapia calliptera (eastern happy)
Lineage: Eukaryota; Metazoa; Chordata; Actinopteri; Cichliformes; Cichlidae
Source: Ensembl